RNAcentral lists this long non-coding RNA (1207 nucleotides) under Ficedula albicollis (Collared flycatcher). RNAcentral's name for it is "lncRNA (ENSFALG00000027962.1)". Lineage: Eukaryota; Metazoa; Chordata; Aves; Passeriformes; Muscicapidae. The record is from RNAcentral.
AGGAGAGGCUCGGCUGCAGGAAGCUACGCGCUCUGGCCGCCCUGCGCGGGGUGUGCGCUCCGCCGAGCCCGGCGGGCACAGCCCAAAGCGCUCCGAAAGGCCGGGGGUGCGCUCGGGGGCACCGCAAACACCUCUCGCCCCCUCAGUCCGGUGACUUAUGCUUUCGGUAGGAUAUUCUCCUCUUAAAUAGAAAAGCGUGGGACUUAGGAACUAAGAUGGCACGCUCUGCAAGCGCUGCCCACAUGGGAUGGAAUCGCUCCAGGAAUAGGUACGCGCGGCGAUUCCUGAGGAGUGGGGAGGGCUGGGGUGAGGAACAUCAUUUAAAGGGAUCCUGACACGUUCACCACUUUCUCUCUACCAGUCACAGGAGCAGACACUGUCUGAUGCUAAGGCUGUUGCCGCUUUCCAGACUUGAGCCUCCUGAAAUGCAGCACUAUCCUCCCCCGCCCCCCACCCCGCCCUGCGCCAGCAGCCUCAUUAGCCAGCCUUGUAGUUCGUGUUUUCUCCCCCCUUUCUUUAGUUCCACUCGCCUACUGCAUUUUUGCAAAUUUGUUUUGAGAUCACUUUACCAGAGGAGCCAGGGGCUCCUUAAGGGAUACUAAUUACUGAUUUUUUUUUCUUCCUGACUGACAGGCCCUUGCAUGGUUUCUUCCAUUUCCCCAAAAAUAUUUAAAGAAAAAGGAAAAAUGGAAAGAACUUUUUUCCAGCUCUUCAAAGAUUUUUGGGGAAAAGCACGUUUCUUAACAGCCCGGAUCUGCUGAGUUGAGUCAAAUCUGUGAGCUAAAGCUCUGCAUGGCAGGAGAGCGGGGCUUGGCGUUGUUCACCGGGAGAUCUACAGUGCAUGCUUGGAGAGAAACCAAGCAUGCACCAACCCAGAAAGACUUCGUUGGAAAUUCGGAGAUGUCGCAACCAGUUCUUGGGAGGUCGUUCAUUAGAAAAGUGCCCAUCUCUCGGCGCUCCAAAGGAGCGGUGCGGAGCAAAUUGUCUCCUGGGGACUGGAGGGGGCUUGCCCAGACAGCUCCCGGCAGGGGCUGUGGUGGGAUAUGCUAAUAAAGACUGGCCGCUGCGGACCAGCCUCCCUGUCCACGUAUAUAUAAGGGCCCCCCGCAUCAGCCCAAGGACACUUGUUCUCGGGUCGCUAAUUACGGAGGAAAUUGCCCCAGCGCUGCGGAGCGCCUCGCCGAGAGCCGGUGGCCGCCGUCCCGCA